RNAcentral lists this long non-coding RNA (695 nucleotides) under Homo sapiens (human). RNAcentral describes it as "HSALNT0289832". Lineage: Eukaryota; Metazoa; Chordata; Mammalia; Primates; Hominidae. The record is from RNAcentral.
AAUAAAAGCAGGCUGCACGAGCUAGCAGGGGCAACCCGCUGGGGUCGUCUUCCAUGCGGUAGAAGCUUUGUUCUUUUGCUGUUUGCAAUAAAUCUUGUUGCUGGUCACUGUUUGGGUCCGCACUGCCUUUGUGAGCUGUAACGCUCACCACGAAGGUCUGCGGGUUCACUGCUGAGGCCAGUGAGAGCCCGAGCCCACCAGGAGGAAUGAACAACUCCGGAUGGGAGAAACGAACAACUCCAGAUCCGCCGACUUAAGAGCUGCAACACUCACCGCCAAGCUAUGCAGCUUGACUCCUGAAGCCAGCGAGACCACGAACCCAUCAGAAGAAAAACUGUGAACACACCCGAGGAAUAAACUCCGGACACACCAUCUUUAAGAAUUGUAACACUCACCACGAGGGUCCACGGCUUCAUUCUUGAGCAAGCUACCACUGUUUAGAGAGAGUCUCCUGUUGUCUUCGUCCUGAGGCUUCUUCCAUCUGCACGGAGGUUCCGAAGCGUUUAUGACAUAUCAAUCCCUCUACCAUCAGGCACACAUUUCACUGUUUUGGGAGAAGGCCUUUGGACUGAAGCUGGAAUCACUGCUGCUCCGUGGGUGCUUGUCAUGGCUCCUGUGGAUGGGAACCCGCUAGGCUUCUAGGCUCUGCAUGGGUUUGUCUUUUUGAAUAAAUUGAGCAAUUGAAUUAUUGAUCC